AAUAAAUGACCGGAUAACAUUAUUGAUUUGAAAUUCAAGAGAUUUAAUACCAUUUGAAAUAUGAGAUAAUAAGAUUUUGAAAAAUAAUGAAAUUCAAAAUUUUUGGCUCAAUCUGAAACCCUUUUCAAACUCUAAUCUGACUAUUAUAAAAACCCACAAUCAGUUCACAACCGGGGACGGAGGAGAGAUACGGCAACCAUAGUAGCAAUUACAAAAAAAAGUGUACGGUAAUUUGGAUUUUUGGUUCUGUUCUCAGUGUUUCGAAACUUUAAUAUUUUGAAGGAAUUUAGGAAGUUCAAGAGGAUCAAAUUCCUUUCAGAAACACGUUUCUGGAUAAUUCUAGAAAUUCUUGGAAUUUUCUUGAAUUUUCCAGUGGGUUGUUGAAGUUUUAAAGAGAUUUUGCAUAUUCCUGCGGCCUUUUGCAGAUUCCGACGAGCUUUUCGGUAAACUUGGCAGAUUCUGACGACCCUUUGCAGAUUUUCGACGAAUAUUCGAACGACGAUUAAAGAUACUGGUUAAACUUUCGACGAACUUUGAAAUUUCCUGCAACUUUUGCAGUUUUCGGUGACCGACGAUUGGGCCCUUUUCUACAUAGAAGUCCAAGCCCAAUCCUAGAAAGAGAAGAAGAAAGCAAAAACUAAAGUAAUUUUUUAUUUUCUGAGCAUUUAUGCUGCAAAACGAUGCAGUUUUGAUGGGGCUAGACCUGCGCUCUGCCCCGUCCAGACCUGCGCUCUGAACCCAUCCCAGAUUUUUAGCUAGACCUGCGCUCUGCUCCGUUCAGAUCUGCGCUCUGACCCCAUCC
This 802-nucleotide long non-coding RNA is filed under the name Durio zibethinus. RNAcentral describes it as "long non-coding RNA (DZIB_LNC001403)". Lineage: Eukaryota; Viridiplantae; Streptophyta; Magnoliopsida; Malvales; Malvaceae. The record is from RNAcentral.